AUAGAAGAAAGAUAUUUGGAGAAUAACAGAUACUACACUCUUUCCUUAACAAAACAAGUAUUUAUUGAAUAAAGAAGGACAAAAGAGUAUAGUAAAAAAGAAAUGAGACUGUCAAUUUAAAUGUGUAUCAAACAAAAAAAGGGGGAGGAGUGGAUGCCAAAACAUCGUGGCUUAGCACAGCUCACAGAAGACUUAUCUGGAAAAACUUCUUUCAUUGAGUUGACCUCUGAUCUUGCUCUUUUGCCAGUAGGUAUUUUCUCUCUGAAUCUGAGAGCUGUCUCUGUGUCUGUUUUUUUUUCCCCCUCGUCCUUUUUUUCCCGCCGGUCUGUUGAUUCUCCCUGCUGUUGUUGGACGUCAUCGUAUUUAUACCCAACAGAAAAUAAUAUAAUGCCAAAAAAAUAAAAGAAUGACCACUGAUCUGAGACCAGCUGGUCUCAGAUCAGGCGAUCAUUCUUUUAUUUUUUGGCAAGCAGUGACUUAAAAGCAUUGACAAAAGAAAUUCUCUUUGUAAGUAAUGCAUGGGUGUGUUAAUUCGCAUCAAGAAGUAUUGUUAAUUACAUCUUCCCGACAGGAAGGAUUUGAUGACACCAUUUGCUUUUAAGUUUUAUAAUGGGCUUAUCAUGAGUGCAUCUUAGCAUCCAUUUAAUGUAUUGGCCUAUAAAACAAUACAUAAAGUAGAAUAAAAUAUAAUUGAAGAAUACAAAAAAACUUGC
RNAcentral lists this long non-coding RNA (713 nucleotides) under Androctonus crassicauda. Lineage: Eukaryota; Metazoa; Arthropoda; Arachnida; Scorpiones; Buthidae. The record is from RNAcentral.